Molecule: ribosomal RNA, 538 nt
Filed under: uncultured bacterium
Lineage: Bacteria
Description: bacterial SSU rRNA
Rfam family: Bacterial small subunit ribosomal RNA
Source: RNAcentral
AAUAGAUACCCUGGUAGUCCUAGCUGUAAACGAUGAGCACUGGGUUGAGGGGACUUCCACAUCCUCUCGGCCGUAGCGAAAGCGUUAAGUGCUCCGCCUGGGGAGUAUGGCCGCAAGGCUGAAACUCAAAGGAAUUGACGGGGGCUCACACAAGCGGUGGAGGAUGUGGCUUAAUUCGAGGCUACGCGAAGAACCUUAUCCUAGAUUUGACAUGGUUGAGAAUCUCCUUGAAAGAGGAGAGUGCCCUUCGGGGAGCUCUUUCACAGGUGCUGCAUGGCUGUCGUCAGCUCGUGUCGUGAGAUGUUGGGUUAAGUCCCUUAACGAGCGAAACCCUUAUCUUUAGUUGCCAGCGGGUAAUGGCCGGGGACUCUAAAGAGACUGCCGGUGUCAAACCGGAGGAAGGUGGGGAGUGACGUCAAGUCCUCAUGGCCUUUAUGUCUAGGGCUGCACACGUCCUACAAUGGCACGUACAAAGGGAAGCCAAGCCGCGAGGCCGCGCUAACUCCCAAAAACGCGUCGCCCCAGUCCGGAUUGCAGG